UCUCAAGCAGCGGUCUGAGAAUUAGGAGGCUGCAAACUGCUGGAUGGCAGCAAACUUCUCCUAAAUUAACUUUCCAUCUCUUUCGGCGGUGUCAUUGAUUAAUGAGGACAGAUAGGUGCGGCUGCUGACGAGGUACGGGGCGAUCUAUCUAAUUGAGGGGUGUCCCCUGCUCAAUAUUCAGGGAAUCUCUCUGCCACUCAGCGGCCUAAUGGGCCGCGUUAACAACAUUGUGCACAGCUGCCAGGACGCCAGCGGGAUACCGAUGUUACCCCGGCUGCUCCAGUUUCGGCUGGGGCUCCUACACUCCUCGGUGGAAGCUGACGGGAAAUCGAUGUGUUUCCCUUGCUGCUGACUGGAUCUAUAUGUGAGCAACCUUAUUGGGAAAUAUCGUGGGCAGGAAACUUUGAGGUGGUCCAAGAGAAGGAGAGGGAGGGAGAGAAAAGAUGCUGCCGAUGAAUAUAAUUUGAUUUACAUUCAGGGUUUAGUGAAUAAAAGGCAUUUGAACUACGUUUAAACUGCCCCAUCCAGAUGCCGCUGUCACAAGCAUGCUAUCACAAUCGGACUGAUUGAAAAAACUGACAUAGAUCGAUGGAUCGAUUGAUGUGGUAACAAAACAAUCAUUCAGGUACGCACAACUGGCGUUUGGUCUUUGCUGGAUUGCAUCCCCUUGCAGGCAUUUUCCAUUCAGCCUCUGGCAAAUGUCUCUGUUUACCCCUAUUAGAGUGAUAGCAAAAUUCUGUCAUAUAUUAUGAAUGAUCUGGAGCAGAGGCUCCUUUACAAAAUCCAAAUAUGCCUGGAUGUCGCUGCUGGAGAAUGUGUAAUUCUGUUUAUUCAUCCGGAUACUGGACGUAUAAAUCUAAUACAUUUUGAAGCUACAAGAAUUCUCCUCCUCCAUGGGCCUGUUACUUUGACGAUAAAAGACCAGGAGACAGCUUACAAUGAUGUUUUCCACGUUCCUGGAUUCUCACUGUGGUUCCUGCAUCAAGCUCAGUCACACCUGCACAAAGUUACGAGCCGUGGACAAUGAUAUGGUACAUGACAAAAACAGUUUCUUAUAAACCCUCCAUACUCUGUACAAGCACACAAAAUGUGUACCCCUCAACAAACACAUAAUAAAUGUGCUCUUAUAAAUCAAUUUGGCUCCACGAUACAACCGGAUCUUGGGAAGUGGCUCGGAAAUAUCAAAACAACCUUGGGGACUUUGGGUUCACUAUGAAUGUUGUGUGCCUUCACUAUGUGUGCUCUUUAUAUCUGCUCUUUAUUCAAUCAAUCUGCUCCCUACUCUUUCAUCCAUUAAUUUGGCCUCUCUCUCUCUCUCUUCUUCUCUUUCUCCAUCCAUUAUUUCUGUCAUUGUGCUGUUUGUCCUGUUCAGUGGGCAUCAUAAAGCAGUCAGGAAGACUAACUUGCAUGUGAUGCUCGCAGAGCAGGCAGUGGAAAUGUCACAGUAUUUCAGGUACCAAGGCUUAUUAACGAGGUCUGUCUAAUAUGAGGGGACAGGAAAUGAGCAGGUUCUCCUUAACUGCUAUUGUAAAGAUGAUAGAUGUGUGAUUGCACUUAGAAAUGCAUGGAAAACAUGCAUGCAUGGAGAAACCUUUAUAGCUGGGGUUCUCAAACUUAGCAAACAGCCUCUAAAGCCAGAAAAAAUUAACUCGAACCCAAACUCUGUUUGUUCACAUGAAAAGAGAGACAUGUUUGUCAGUUGUUUGCAUCUUAUUCAUACAAUGUACUUCACUCACGGGAGGUCAAGAGCACCAUCUGUGCAUGUUCAAUUCUUAAUUAGAUUCACAACAACUGAAUAAUGUAUUUGUGAGACCAAAAUAGAUUUCAGGUGGGGAAUACCUGAGAUUAAUAUAGGAGUCUGUUUUUGACACAUUUCCUCAUUGACAUCUUCGAAGUCGUCGUGUUUUUUCUUUUCUGUUUCAGGCACAGCUUGUCCCGUGUCAAGCCAAUUAGUCGAUCUCAUUAACCAAUGCUGUCAACCAGAAGACUGCGGUUUGAGUCCUGUUUGUGAGCUCUGUUUUUUGCAUUCUCUUUUUUCUCCCCUCACAGUUUACUUUAUAUUCACAUUCUGUUUGGUUAGCUAUAGGCAUCAAAUAUACUUGGUUCGUUUUAAUGAAAUAUCACAGUUUGGGUAAAGCUUCAAAACUCCCACCGACAAAUGAUGGCCAAGCAAAGAUAUGUGGCCAUUUUCCAGUGGUCCGGUUCAUUUAACUCAAAGGUUUGCAUGAUAUUAAAGUGAUUUUCCCCACAAAAUGUAUUCCCUCUCUCAUGCACACCCUCUCUUAUUGUGGAUUUAGCUAUGAUAGCUAAUGACCGGAGUGUAGAGUAACCCUGUUGUGGCUGCUGCUGUUCACCCAUUGACUUCUCAUUGGCACUCACACAGUAUCUUUUUGGCAUUAACAUGCACUUUAGUCCAACAGAGUUCAAUAGAAGCUUCUUUACAUCUGAAAUAUGUAGCUGUGACAAGUUUGUGGGCAAAAAAGUGGUCUGCUGUUUUCCUCUCUGUCAUAGAUGCCACACUGUGGUAAACAAGGGAACCUUUUUAAUGUGUAGUUAAACUGAGCAGACUUAGUUCCAAAAUCUAACCCCACAGUGAAAACAAACAAGUUUACUAAAAUAAACGACAUGUACAAAUAUAUAAAUAUAUAAAUAUUUUUUAUAAAGAGUUCCCAUUAUACAAUAUUGUACCAUCAUUCCUUAUACCUAGUGUUAGGAAGGUUGUUGCUACAGUCGCACUAGAAGAAAACAGUGGCUGAGAUCAAUUUAUUGCCUUUAUGAUGGAACCAGGUGUGAGAGCGCCCACAGUUAGCUGCUAUGCUCAAAGACAGUGAUAAAACAACAACAAUCGCAUUGGUCUGCUAUCAGUCUGCGAUAACAUGGAGAUUAACUGUGAUAAAUCACUGAAAAUUGCAAGUCUGCUGUCAGACUUAAGAUAAGGUGUGCUAAUCAGCACAGAGUGACUCUGUCUGCAUUUAUAAAUUAGGAGGAAAUUAUUGGUAAACCUUGACUAAUUUGUCUGAGACUCCACUCAAUCUGAGCCAGACUGCAGUUGUUUGGCCCUUGCAUCGAAAAUGGUCAUGCAGAAGUUUCUGAGCGCUUCCACGCUCAACCUCUGGGUGACCAGCUGGUCAGUUCAGCAACUUGCAAUCAGCUGCCAAAAAUUCAGAUUCAGAUGACUUCAUUAAUCUACAAAAAGGGCAAUGUGUUUGCAGCUUACCCACACAACCUUUAAACACCAAAGACAAACACUGUUACAUGUGAGGUCAAGGAAGGAAAAAAUAAAUAAAAAAUAAAUUUUAGUUGCAGGGAGGUUGCCGUUCUUAUUUAAUCAUUUAAGUGUGACAUGUCCAUAGUAUACAUGCCUUUUUUUGUUGUUUUUCUGUUUGUUACUGAGAAAAGAGUUAAAAUGGACUGUGAUGCAGGAGGAUUUUAAAGGAAUCUGAAAUCUAAAGUGUGAAAUUUGAGCUAGUUAAACCUCCCCACAGCUGCUCAUUUCAGUCAAUGAGAUUAAAACCACCUCUCCAGCGUGCAAAGGGGUGCUGUUUUUACUGACUUACACCACAUUUGCCACUUAAUACUUGAUCACUUGCCGUCAUUAUGCAUCUGACAGAUGGCAGAAGAUGACUAAUGACUAUUUGCACAUUAAUGCUUUUUGUGUCAUGAAGAAGUUGAUUCAUCGCUACCAAAGUCAUAGUGUGUGUCACAGAGUGUAAGCGCAGGUUAUGUAAAAAGUGUGUCAGCUUUGCAUCUGUUCUAAACUGCAUGCAAAACAAUGCCGAGCUGUGCAGCAAACAGAUAUUGUACCAAAAUUGAAAAAGUAGGAGCUUUGUAAUGCCGGUGUAUCUCCUCGCUGUCAGCGCUGACACGCUCAUAAAACACAAGGCCUCAUUUUAAGUCAAACAGGAAAUAGCCUGCACAAUCCUGGGAACAAACAAGAGAGGACAGCGUUGCGGUUUGAUUGGACCGUGAACGGUCGCUGUCGUUACAAAGCACCACUGUAAGCUCCAUCGAUUAUCAAAGGGCUCCGAGCUCAGACGGGGAGUCUACUGAUCUUUCCCAAGCUCAGACAUGAAAAGCCCCCGGUGACAGCUCAUAGCCUGGGCUAGAUCAUACCGCUGAGCUGAGGAGGGAGGGGGCUUCUGUGUUGCCUGUUUUCUAACCACCUGCUCCACAGGCCGUGGCUGUGUUUUCUUGUUUUCUCUCUCUUAACGCUCCGCUUUGUCAGAGGCGACGAGGAUGCGCUUUCAUGCGAACUUGGGGCCAGCAAUGACAUCGGCAUGUGAGAGACACUUGGUACAACAACGCAAGGCAACCUUUUAUUACGGCUAUGCCUCAUUACUUUUUAACCAGCGUAAUCGUAUGUGCUGCUCCUCAUGAAUUAUUCACAGGUGAGCUCUCGUCACAAAAUGACAGGGGGAGAUGGCAGAGAGCUGCAAAUGAAAAACAAAACAAAACAGAAAACAAGCAUAAAAAUAGGAGAUGGUAUAUGUCAAGAACGUGAGGCUCUGAUACGUUUCCUCAUGCUUGCCAUUAACUUUCUUUGCAGAGGUGUGAGCACACAACACUGUAGAAAACAUACAGACACGGGUUUCACAAUAUGGAUCACAUGCUGAGAGUUUGUUUGUUGCUUUCAAAUGAAACAAACCAAUCUGAAAAGUGGUAUGAGGCUUUAGCUCCAGUGUGUUCGCCUUUCAUCAGCAGCAGCUUGGCAGCGACUGGAAAAUAUAAAAAGAAAGAAGGAGUUUCCGCCAGUGCCUGUCUACACAGAGACUGCUCGCUCCCUAAUAGUGCCAGCGUGCAGCAAUUCAUCUACGGCGCACUUGCGGGAUAGUCUUCAAGAGGCCGCUGUUCAUUAGCAUUACGCUAAUGUAUGUUGAUUGGUCGGUCAGCAUUCACUUCAAUUGUGAAUUGAUGGCUUCAAUCAAAACAAAGUUGAUCAAAGUUGCCGAAGGCUGAAAUUCUAUUGCGGGGCUAAAGAAAGGUCAGAAGAUCACCUGAGGUCCUGAGCAGACGAGAUGUUGGCUAUAGCAGGUCCUUAGAGCCUGCGCUGAUCAACUAGCACCGGUGUUCACGGAGAUCUUCAACCUCUCCCUGGCCCAAGCUGUGGUUCCCACGUGCUUCAAACAGUCCAUUAUUGUCCCUGUUCCAAAGAAACAACAGCCCGCUUGCCACAAUG
This is a long non-coding RNA of Haplochromis burtoni (Burton's mouthbrooder), 5176 nucleotides long. RefSeq lists it as uncharacterized. NCBI's taxonomy places the organism in Eukaryota, Metazoa, Chordata, Actinopteri, Cichliformes, Cichlidae. The record is from RefSeq and is a predicted model, not a curated record. The transcript has 5 exons.